Molecule: long non-coding RNA, 428 nt
Filed under: Nicotiana tabacum (common tobacco)
Lineage: Eukaryota; Viridiplantae; Streptophyta; Magnoliopsida; Solanales; Solanaceae
Description: long non-coding RNA (NTAB_LNC012608)
Source: RNAcentral
UCCGUUUGAGUCAGUUGCAACGAGAAAGAGGGCCCAUCAAAAUUGAGAAUUUUGGUGGGUAUACCUCUGGGUAGUCUGUUGAGUGGCGUUGCAUCCGAUAUUAGAGAGAAAACUCAAAGAAUCCUGGUGAUUAACAAUACAAAUGGAAGAUAUAUCAGAAAAUUGUGUAAAUUCGCUAAAAAUACUUAUAGAAACAAACUAAUGAAAAAGCAAUUUCGAAGUAGUUGAAUUACCUACGGGGAGAAGAUUUCCAAAAUACAACUGUGAAUCUCUAAAAAACACUUGCGAACCAACUUGCCCGUCAAAAUACGCUUGAGAACAGUUGCGAAGAAGAAUGGUGUGUGGGGUGAUAAUGGCGGAGAAGUAUAGGCGAUAAUGGCGGAGGAGAGUUUUUGAAGUGUAUGGAACGUGUGUUUGUGGGAGAAGAG